AAAAAGUUAGUUAAAAUAUAACAUUAAUUUGUCAUAUUAAAAUUAUUAAUUUAUUUAAUACUUUUUU
RNAcentral lists this transfer RNA (67 nucleotides) under Anaxarcha graminea. Its description in RNAcentral is "tRNA-Asp". The record is from RNAcentral. Lineage: Eukaryota; Metazoa; Arthropoda; Insecta; Mantodea; Hymenopodidae. RNAcentral also lists the same sequence under 1 other name.